CCUACGGGUGGCAGCAGUGGGGAAUAUUGCGCAAUGGGCGAAAGCCUGACGCAGCGACGCCGCGUGAGGGAUGAAGGUCUUCGGAUCGUAAACCUCUGUCAGCAGGGAAGAACGGUCACGGGGCUAAUCAGCAGUGAAUUGACGGUACCUGCAAAGGAAGCACCGGCGAACUCCGUGCCAGCAGCCGCGGUAAUACGGAGGGUGCGAGCGUUAAGCGGAAUUACUGGGCGUAAAGCGCUCGUAGGCGGGAUGUCAAGUCAAGGGUGAACUCCCCGCGCGCAACGUGGGAACUGCCUUUGAACCUGGCAAACUUGCGUGUGUGAGAGGUUAGUGGAAUUCCAGGUGU
Molecule: ribosomal RNA, 346 nt
Filed under: uncultured bacterium
Lineage: Bacteria
Description: partial 16S ribosomal RNA
Rfam family: Bacterial small subunit ribosomal RNA
Source: RNAcentral